UACGGGGGGGGCAAGCGUUGUUCGGAAUUACUGGGCGUAAAGGGUUUGUAGGUGGCUUGCUAAGUCAGAUGUGAAAUCCCUCAGCUUAACUGGGGAACUGCGUCUGAGACUGGCGAGCUUGAGUGCAGGAGAGGAUGGCGGAAUUCCCCAAGUAGAGGUGAAAUUCGUAGAUAUGGGGAGGAACACCGGUGGCGAAGGCGGCCAUCUGGACGGAUACUGACGCUGAGACGCGAAAGCGUGGGUAGCAAACAGG
Molecule: ribosomal RNA, 253 nt
Filed under: uncultured bacterium
Lineage: Bacteria
Description: partial 16S ribosomal RNA
Rfam family: Bacterial small subunit ribosomal RNA
Source: RNAcentral